Molecule: ribosomal RNA, 1291 nt
Filed under: Escherichia coli
Lineage: Bacteria; Pseudomonadati; Pseudomonadota; Gammaproteobacteria; Enterobacterales; Enterobacteriaceae
Description: partial 23S ribosomal RNA
Rfam family: Bacterial large subunit ribosomal RNA
Source: RNAcentral
ACACAGGUGGUCAGGUAGAGAAUACCAAGGCGCUUGAGAGAACUCGGGUGAAGGAACUAGGCAAAAUGGUGCCGUAACUUCGGGAGAAGGCACGCUGAUAUGUAGGUGAAGUCCCUCGCGGAUGGAGCUGAAAUCAGUCGAAGAUACCAGCUGGCUGCAACUGUUUAUUAAAAACACAGCACUGUGCAAACACGAAAGUGGACGUAUACGGUGUGACGCCUGCCCGGUGCCGGAAGGUUAAUUGAUGGGGUCAGCGCAAGCGAAGCUCUUGAUCGAAGCCCCGGUAAACGGCGGCCGUAACUAUAACGGUCCUAAGGUAGCGAAAUUCCUUGUCGGGUAAGUUCCGACCUGCACGAAUGGCGUAAUGAUGGCCAGGCUGUCUCCACCCGAGACUCAGUGAAAUUGAACUCGCUGUGAAGAUGCAGUGUACCCGCGGCAAGACGGAAAGACCCCGUGAACCUUUACUAUAGCUUGACACUGAACAUUGAGCCUUGAUGUGUAGGAUAGGUGGGAGGCUUAGAAGUGUGGACGCCAGUCUGCAUGGAGCCGACCUUGAAAUACCACCCUUUAAUGUUUGAUGUUCUAACGUUGACCCGUGAUCCGGGUUGCGGACAGUGUCUGGUGGGUAGUUUGACUGGGGCGGUCUCCUCCUAAAGAGUAACGGAGGAGCACGAAGGUUGGCUAAUCCUGGUCGGACAUCAGGAGGUUAGUGCAAUGGCAUAAGCCAGCUUGACUGCGAGCGUGACGGCGCGAGCAGGUGCGAAAGCAGGUCAUAGUGAUCCGGUGGUUCUGAAUGGAAGGGCCAUCGCUCAACGGAUAAAAGGUACUCCGGGGAUAACAGGCUGAUACCGCCCAAGAGUUCAUAUCGACGGCGGUGUUUGGCACCUCGAUGUCGGCUCAUCACAUCCUGGGGCUGAAGUAGGUCCCAAGGGUAUGGCUGUUCGCCAUUUAAAGUGGUACGCGAGCUGGGUUUAGAACGUCGUGAGACAGUUCGGUCCCUAUCUGCCGUGGGCGCUGGAGAACUGAGGGGGGCUGCUCCUAGUACGAGAGGACCGGAGUGGACGCAUCACUGGUGUUCGGGUUGUCAUGCCAAUGGCACUGCCCGGUAGCUAAAUGCGGAAGAGAUAAGUGCUGAAAGCAUCUAAGCACGAAACUUGCCCCGAGAUGAGUUCUCCCUGACCCUUUAAGGGUCCUGAAGGAACGUUGAAGACGACGACGUUGAUAGGCCGGGUGUGUAAGCGCAGCGAUGCGUUGAGCUAACCGGUACUAAUGAACCGUGAGGCUUAACCUU